CCGCCCGGGCUCCGCGUGCGGAGGGGGCGCCCCCUAGGCCGGGGAGCGGGGGAUCCCCAGGGGUCGCGGGGUCCGGGAGGAGCGGGCACCGGACGCGGACACGGUGGGGUGCAUCCCGAGAGCCUCCUCCGGGGCAGAUGCUUCCUGCGGGGGCGCUGUUCCUGGGCCCGGGAAGGGGGCGUUGGAACCCCGAGCGGUCCGGGCCGAAGCCUGGGACUCUCAGCAGACUCUGCAGGUCCUCUCAGAUCUUGUGCGGAAGGCCAGGAGUCGGAACAUUGGCAUCUUCCAUCCAUCCUUCAACUUAACCAAGUUCCUCCGACAGGGUCUCUACAAAUACCUCCCAGCCAACGUCCACCAGCUCAUCUCCGGCAAAAUAUGCAUCUCACUCACCAGAGUGUCUGAUGGGAAAAACGUUCUGGUGUCUGACUUUCGGUCCAAAGACGAAGUCGUGGAUGCCUUGAUAUGUUCCUGCUUUAUCCCUUUCUACAGUGGCCUUAUCCCUCCUUCCUUCAGAGGCGUGCGAUAUGUGGAUGGAGGAGGGAGUGAUAACGUACCCUUCAUUGAUGCCAAAACAACCAUCACCGUGUCCCCCUUCUAUGGGGAGUACGAUAUCUGCCCUAAAGUCAUGUCCACGAACUUUCUUCACGUUGACAUCACCAAGCUCAGCCUACGCCUCUGCACAGGGAACCUCUACCUUCUCUCGAGAGCAUUUGUGCCCCCGGAUCUCAAG
RNAcentral lists this small RNA (730 nucleotides) under Pongo abelii (Sumatran orangutan). Its description in RNAcentral is "processed transcript". Lineage: Eukaryota; Metazoa; Chordata; Mammalia; Primates; Hominidae. The record is from RNAcentral.